UUAACCGUUAAAAAUCAAGAAUAGUGACAGUGAACACAGAGUAUCCAAAAAUGCGUGUCCGCUUAUGGCUUAUCGUAUGAAAACAGCGGAUUCGUACGAAUCCAACAAAAGGAGUUGGACUUUAGAAAGAGAAGCCGAACCAAGCCGAACUCAAAAUAAUCGAAAGUGUAGAGAUGUCGACUAGCUCCUACGUAACUCUUCCGCUCGUCAGCAGUAGAGUUUAUUUUUUCGGUUCCAGAUGACCAGCGAACUUUUACUGCUGGUAAUACGAUGGGAGUACGCGUAUAUAUUGAUACUGCAGCCCUCACGUACCGACGCACGGUAAGCGUGUGGAACUAAUACAGAGUGUAUUGGUUACGCAAUAUUUUUGCUGUACCUACCCAACUACACUGUGCCACUGUUGGAACGUUUACUGCUGUAUCAUUAUAAUGUUUUCGUUUCGUUUAAGUGUAAAAUUUGUCAUGAAAAACCAAAAUGUUUGCUUUUUAUAAAAAUACGAUAAAAUAAAAUAUUUCAACCCGUUGCAAACGUAUUGCAAUCUGUUUAACCUUAAAAUUCGUGAGCGGCGAUUGCGCUUCGUUUCAGUUUUGGCAUAGCUGUGAACAUAAUUGCCUCGAAUUAAUAGUGAUUCUGUUGCGAUUGGAAAGUCUUUUUACACUCGGGAAACCUGGUCAUAUUUAUUCAUAAAUACACGAAAGUAUAUUUUACAUCGGUACAUCAAACGUUUUACGUAAUUCUCGAGUCAGGUCUGUCGAUUUCUGGCGUUCCAAAAACGAGAAUAUAUUUCGAAGGGCUGCAACAACAGAUACAAAAGAUUGAUAGAUGAAGAAUUUCCACAGUAUUAAAUAAAAUAGAAUAAUCGAAACAUUAAAGUGGGAAUCGAAUAAAAAAUUGCGAACAGAA
This is a long non-coding RNA of Venturia canescens, 903 nucleotides long. RefSeq lists it as uncharacterized. The record is from RefSeq and is a predicted model, not a curated record. Lineage: Eukaryota; Metazoa; Arthropoda; Insecta; Hymenoptera; Ichneumonidae. The transcript has 2 exons.